GAUUAGAGUUUGAUCCUGGCUCAGAUUGAACGCUGGCGGCAGGCUUAACACAUGCAAGUCGAACGCCCACUUCGGUGGGAGUGGCAGACGGGUGAGUAACGCGUGGAAACAUACCUUUUGCUUCGGAAUAUUCCCGGGAAACUGGGAGCAAUACCGAAUGUGCCCUGAGGGGGAAAGAUUUAUCGGCAAAAGAUUGGUCCGCGUUAGAUUAGGUAGUUGGUAGGGUAAAGGCCUACCAAGCCUACGAUCUAUGGCUGGUCUGAGAGGAUGAUCAGCCACAUUGGGACUGAGACACGGCCCAAACUCCUACGGGAGGCAGCAGUGGGGAAUAUUGGACAAUGGGCGCAAGCCUGAUCCAGCCAUGCCGCGUGAAUGAUGAAGGCCUUAGGGUUGUAAAAUUCUUUCACCGGGGACGAUAAUGACGGUACCCGGAGAAGAAGCCCCGGCUAACUUCGUGCCAGCAGCCGCGGUAAUAAU
Molecule: ribosomal RNA, 477 nt
Filed under: uncultured bacterium
Lineage: Bacteria
Description: bacterial SSU rRNA
Rfam family: Bacterial small subunit ribosomal RNA
Source: RNAcentral